UCAGCUUGUUGGUGGGGUAAUGGCCUACCAAGGCUUCGACGGGUAGCCGGCCUGAGAGGGUGACCGGCCACACUGGGACUGAGACACGGCCCAGACUCCUACGGGAGGCAGCAGUGGGGAAUAUUGGACAAUGGGCGGAAGCCUGAUCCAGCAACGCCGCGUGAGGGAUGACGGCCUUCGGGUUGUAAACCUCUUUCAGUAGGGACGAAGCGCAAGUGACGGUACCUACAGAAGAAGCACCGGCCAACUACGUGCCAGCAGCCGCGGUAAUACGUAGGGUGCGAGCGUUGUCCGGAAUUAUUGGGCGUAAAGGGCUCGUAGGCGGUUUGUCGCGUCGGGAGUGAAAACCCAGGGCUUAACUCUGGGCUUGCUUUCGAUACGGGCAGACUAGAGGCAUGCAGGGGAGAACGGAAUUCCUGGUGUAGCGGUGAAAUGCGCAGAUAUCAGGAGGAACACCGGUGGCGAAGGCGGUUCUCUGGG
Molecule: ribosomal RNA, 480 nt
Filed under: uncultured actinomycete
Lineage: Bacteria; Bacillati; Actinomycetota; Actinomycetes; Actinomycetales
Description: bacterial SSU rRNA
Rfam family: Bacterial small subunit ribosomal RNA
Source: RNAcentral